RNAcentral lists this ribosomal RNA (468 nucleotides) under uncultured bacterium. Its description in RNAcentral is "partial 16S ribosomal RNA". It matches the Rfam family "Bacterial small subunit ribosomal RNA", at positions 28 to 507 of the family's 1533-position model. The record is from RNAcentral.
GACGAACGCUGGCGGCGUGCUUAACACAUGCAAGUCGAACGGCAAGGCCCUGCUUUUGUGGGGUGCUCGAGUGGCGAUCGGGUGAGUAACACGUGAGUAACCUGCCCUUGACUUUGGGAUAACUUCAGGAAACUGGGGCUACUACCGGAUCGGAGCUCCUGCUGCAUGGUGGGGGUUGGAAAGUUUCGGCGGUUGGGGAUGGACUCGCGGCUUAUCAGCUUGUUGGUGGGGUGGUGGCGUACCAAGGAUUUGAAGGGUAGCCGGCCUGGGAGGGUGGCCGGGCACAUUGGGACUGAGAUACGGCGCAGACUCCUACGUGAGACAGCAGUGGGGAAUAUUGCACAAUGGGCGGAAGCCUGAUGCAGCAACGCCGCGUGCGGGAUGACGGCCUUCGGGUUGUAAACCGCUUUCGCCUGUGACGAAGCGUGAGUGACGGUAAUGGGUAAAGAAGCACCGGCUAACUACGUG